CUUUUGUUACAGCACAUGGCGAGAAGAAGACGGGCUGUCAUCUCCGGAGAAGCGUCCUCCGAAGCGCAUCAGCAAAGACACGGCUUCACAAAACAACUGUGGAAAGGAGGGUUGAAGAAUUGGUGCUGUGUGAGUAUGUGUUUGCUAAUGUUUUUUU
Molecule: long non-coding RNA, 157 nt
Organism: Rhinichthys klamathensis goyatoka
Lineage: Eukaryota; Metazoa; Chordata; Actinopteri; Cypriniformes; Leuciscidae
Exons: 2
Source: RefSeq, a predicted model, not a curated record